AUUGAACGCUAGCGGGAUGCUUUACACAUGCAAGUCGAACGGCAGCGCGGACUUCGGUCUGGCGGCGAGUGGCGAACGGGUGAGUAAUGUAUCGGAACGUGCCCAGUAGCGGGGGAUAACUACGCGAAAGCGUAGCUAAUACCGCAUACGCCCUACGGGGGAAACAGGGGAUUGUAAGAACCUGCACCAUUGGAGCGGCCGAUAUCGGAUUAGCUAGUUGGUGAGGUAACGGCUCACCAAGGCGACGAUCCGUAGCUGGUUUGAGAGGACGACCAGCCACACUGGGACUGAGACACGGCCCAGACUCCUACGGGAGGCAGCAGUGGGGAAUUUUGGACAAUGGGGGCAACCCUGAUCCAGCCAUCCCGCGUGUGCGAUGAAGGCCUUCGGGUUGUAAAGCACUUUUGGCAGGAAAGAAACGUCGCGGGCUAAUACCCCGUGGAACUGACGGUACCUGCAGAAUAAGCACCGGCUAACUACGUG
RNAcentral lists this ribosomal RNA (483 nucleotides) under uncultured bacterium. RNAcentral describes it as "partial 16S ribosomal RNA". It matches the Rfam family "Bacterial small subunit ribosomal RNA", at positions 30 to 507 of the family's 1533-position model. The record is from RNAcentral.